Molecule: ribosomal RNA, 265 nt
Filed under: uncultured bacterium
Lineage: Bacteria
Description: partial 16S ribosomal RNA
Rfam family: Bacterial small subunit ribosomal RNA
Source: RNAcentral
GCAAGUCGAACGCGAACGUCUUCUUCGGAAGGCUAGUAGAGUGGCGCACGGGUGAGUAACGCGUAAGUAAUCUACCCUCUCAUUCGGGAUAACGCAGCGAAUGGUGUGCUAAUACCGAAUACGUCUAUUUUAAUAUCUUUUUUUUAGAGAAAGCUGGCCUCUUCUAGAAAGCUACUGUGCGGGGAGGAGCGUGCGUACCAUUAGCUAGUUGGUAGGGUAACGGCCUACCAAGGCUACGAUGGUUAGCGGGUCUGAGAGGAUGAUC